GGAGGGGUCAUAGCUCAGUGGUAGAGCAUCUGCCUUGUAAGCAGAAGGUCCCAGGUUCAAUCCCUGGCAUCUCCA
Molecule: non-coding RNA, 75 nt
Organism: Rhineura floridana
Lineage: Eukaryota; Metazoa; Chordata; Lepidosauria; Squamata; Rhineuridae
Source: the annotation of a RefSeq genome assembly